This is a long non-coding RNA of Hypanus sabinus (Atlantic stingray), 446 nucleotides long. RefSeq lists it as uncharacterized. Lineage: Eukaryota; Metazoa; Chordata; Chondrichthyes; Myliobatiformes; Dasyatidae. The transcript has 3 exons. The record is from RefSeq and is a predicted model, not a curated record.
GUGAAAAGGGAUCAUUGUUCGCCUGUGGCCUGUUGAGAGCUACCUGUGUGAGGGAAGCAUUCGAGGGCACAGAAAGUCCUUUCAUCAAGGCUUAGGCCUGAGGCCUCAGGUCUGAAGAGAGUCUGGCCGACAUUCUCCUCUCGUCACACCCCUCGCUCGGACCAGCCGGGCCUGCGCCGUUGGCAGCAUCCUCCUGUACCCGGGGGCCAUCUGGGCGCCAGAGCCAUGCCUUGUCUGCGCCUGCCAGACGGGGGGGACGGCCGUCUGCGAGCGGACCGAGUGCCUGGAGGUCAGCUGUGCGGGAGCACACGUCCCGCCGGGGCGGUGUUGUCCCGUGUGUCCAGUGACUGGUGAACCAGGCGGAUCCCGGAUCGCUGGUGUGGACUCCGCGGACAAACGCGGCAGGAACGGGGGCCGGAAGCUGAGUGGGGCCCGAGUGGAGGGCG